CGACUGAGCGGCGGACGGGUGAGUAACGCGUGGGUAACCUGCCUUACACAGGGGGAUAACAGUUAGAAAUGACUGCUAAUACCGCAUAAGACCCCGGUACCGCAUGGUACAGAGGUAAAAACUGAGGUGGUGUAAGAUGGACCCGCGUCUGAUUAGGUAGUUGGUGAGGUAACGGCUCACCAAGCCGACGAUCAGUAGCCGGCCUGAGAGGGUGGACGGCCACAUUGGGACUGAGACACGGCCCAGACUCCUACGGAAGGCAGCAG
RNAcentral lists this ribosomal RNA (266 nucleotides) under uncultured bacterium. RNAcentral describes it as "partial 16S ribosomal RNA". It matches the Rfam family "Bacterial small subunit ribosomal RNA", at positions 88 to 354 of the family's 1533-position model. The record is from RNAcentral.